Ribosomal RNA from Gadus morhua (Atlantic cod), 119 nucleotides. The record is from Ensembl. NCBI's taxonomy places the organism in Eukaryota, Metazoa, Chordata, Actinopteri, Gadiformes, Gadidae.
UUAAACGGCCAUGUCUCCCUGAACACGCCCGAUCUCGUCUGAUCUCGGAAGCUAAGCGGGGUCGGGCCUGGUUAGUACUUGGAUGGGAGACCGCCUGGGAAUACCAGGUGCUGUAAGUG